UCCCCUCUUCUCCUCCUCCCUUUGGACAGCAGCCCCGCUAGCCCAAUCCCCUGCCCGCGCCCCUCCCCUCUUCUCCUCCUCCCUCUGGACAGCAGCGCCGCCAGCCCAAUCCCGUGCCCGUGCCCCUCCACCUCCGCCCAGAUCCUCAGCCCGCGCCCCUCUUCCCUCCCCUCUGCUCCCUUCCAACGCCCGCGAGCCUACCCUGC
This 206-nucleotide long non-coding RNA is filed under the name Brachypodium distachyon (stiff brome). RNAcentral describes it as "long non-coding RNA (BDIS_LNC002827)". Lineage: Eukaryota; Viridiplantae; Streptophyta; Magnoliopsida; Poales; Poaceae. The record is from RNAcentral.